AACGAACGCUGGCGGCAUGCCUAACACAUGCAAGUCGAACGAGACCUUCGGGUCUAGUGGCGCACGGGUGCAUAACGCGUGGGAACCUGCCCUUAGGUUCGGAAUAACUCCCCGAAAGGGGUGCUAAUACCGGAUAAUGUCUUCGGACCAAAGAUUUAUCGCCUUUGGAUGGGCCCGCGUUGGAUUAGCUAGUUGGUAGGGUAAAAGCCUACCAAGGCGACGAUCCAUAGCUGGUCUGAGAGGAUGAUCAGCCACACUGGGACUGAGACACGGCCCAGACUCCUACGGGAGGCAGCAGUGGGGAAUAUUGGACAAUGGGCGAAAGCCUGAUCCAGCAAUGCCGCGUAAGUGAUGAAGGCCUUAGGGUUGUAAAGCUCUUUUACCCGGGAUGAUAAUGACAGUACCGGGAGAAUAAGCUCCGGCUAACUCCGUG
Molecule: ribosomal RNA, 433 nt
Filed under: uncultured bacterium
Lineage: Bacteria
Description: partial 16S ribosomal RNA
Rfam family: Bacterial small subunit ribosomal RNA
Source: RNAcentral